Molecule: transfer RNA, 47 nt
Filed under: Cheirogaleus medius (lesser dwarf lemur)
Lineage: Eukaryota; Metazoa; Chordata; Mammalia; Primates; Cheirogaleidae
Description: partial tRNA-Leu
Source: RNAcentral
ACUUUUAAAGGAUGGUAGUUAUCCAUUGGCCUUAGGAGCCAAAAAAU